GUGAGGAAUCUUCCACAAUGGGCGAAAGCCUGAUGGAGCAACGCCGCGUGAAGGAUGAAGGUCUUCGGAUUGUAAACUUCUUUUAUGAGUGAAGAAUAUGACGGUAACUCAUGAAUAAGCACCGGCUAACUACGUGCCAGCAGCCGCGGUCAUACGUAGGGUGCAAGCAUUAUCCGGAGUGACUGGGCGUAAAGAGUUGCGUAGGCGGUUAUGUAAGCGAAUAGUGAAACCUGGUGGCUCAACCACACAGACUAUUAUUCGAACUGCAUAACUCGAGAAUGGUAGAGGUAGUUGGAAUUUCUUGUGUAGGAGUGAAAUACGUAGAUAUAAGAAGGAACACCAAUGGCGUAGGCAGACUACUGGACCAUUUCUGACGCUGAGGCACGAAAGCGUGGGGAGCGAACCGGAUUAGAAACCCGGGUAGUCC
Molecule: ribosomal RNA, 427 nt
Filed under: uncultured bacterium
Lineage: Bacteria
Description: partial 16S ribosomal RNA
Rfam family: Bacterial small subunit ribosomal RNA
Source: RNAcentral